UUAAAAGUCUUUUCGUUCACAUUGGCCGCCAUCAUCGGUUCCGGAAGCCCUGGCGGAAGUAUCCAAAUUCAGAAUAACAGUCACAUCGGUUUCUCGGAGAUGGCUAGACCGAAUCAACCAAACUUAAUCUCAAAUGAAAGAUGUUGCGUCCCCGUAAAUGGCCAUUAAAUUUUAUCCCGAACCGACUUCCGGUUCCGGAGUUACGGGUUGUGGCGUGCGAUCACAUAGCAAAUUGUGAUUCAAACCGAUACUCCGAUGAAAGAAAAAAAGGUAAAAAUUUCGCUAAAAUGUCUCUCAAACAACUUAAAUUUGCAGUUCUAGGUCACCGACGGCCAAACAAACUUUCGUUGACUACAUUGACCACCAUAGACGAUUCUGGAAGUGCCCGGGAAAAGUGACCAUCUUUCAAAACUAGCAAAUCCAUAUCAGCUUCUCGAAAAUGGUUGGACCGAUUUCACAAACUUAGUCCCAAAUGAAAGCUAUAUUAUCCCCACAGAUGUCUAUAAAAUUUCGCGCGGAUCGCUUAUAUGGUUCCGGAAAUAUAGACUGAACCAAAUCGAAUUCGUAUUUUUGAUGUCAAGCAUCGUCGAGAUUUUAUGUUAUCACGAAUUUUUUUUAUAAAUUUCGACUUUUUGGGACUUUGCCGAUUUCGCACCUUUUUGCCUUUCUCAUAUAAAGAAAGGCUAUGCAAUCACUGUAAAAAUCGACUUUUUAACCGAGGCCGGAUUCGAUUGUGUGUGUAUGUGUGUGUCAUUUAAACUCACACAAUUUUCUCAGAGAUGGACGAACCGAUUUUCACAAACUUAAUUUUAAAUGAAAGAGUUACGGAUUGAAGAGUGCGGUCACACAGCAAAUUCCCAUAUAAACUGGUAUCACUUUGAUGUACAAAUGGUGUAAUACGUAUUAAAAUGGGUCCAACAUUACUUGAAUUUGCUGGUCUAGAUCACUAAUGAUCAUUCAAAGCAGCUUCGACCACAUUGGCCACCUAUGACGGAUCUUGA
This is a long non-coding RNA of Topomyia yanbarensis, 1001 nucleotides long. RefSeq lists it as uncharacterized. The record is from RefSeq and is a predicted model, not a curated record. The transcript has 3 exons. NCBI's taxonomy places the organism in Eukaryota, Metazoa, Arthropoda, Insecta, Diptera, Culicidae.